This 430-nucleotide ribosomal RNA is filed under the name Pseudomonadota bacterium. Its description in RNAcentral is "Proteobacteria bacterium partial 16S ribosomal RNA". It matches the Rfam family "Bacterial small subunit ribosomal RNA", at positions 355 to 776 of the family's 1533-position model. The record is from RNAcentral. Lineage: Bacteria; Pseudomonadati; Pseudomonadota.
UGGAGAAUAUUGGACAAUGGGCGAAAGCCUGAUCCAGCCAUGCCGCGUGUGUGAAGAAGGCCUUAUGGUUGUAAAGCACUUUAAGCGAGGAGGAGGGUACUGGUAUUAAUACUACCAGGUACUGGACGUUACUCGCAGAAUAAGCACCGGCUAACUCUGUGCCAGCAGCCGCGGUAAUACAGAGGGUGCGAGCGUUAAUCGGAUUUACUGGGCGUAAAGCGUGCGUAGGCGGCUAAUUGAGUCGGAUGUGAAAUCCCCGAGCUUAACUUGGGAAUUGCAUUCGAUACUGGUUAGCUAGAGUGUGGGAGAGGAUGGUAGAAUUCCAGGUGUAGCGGUGAAAUGCGUAGAGAUCUGGAGGAAUACCGAUGGCGAAGGCAGACAUCUGGCCUAACACUGACGCUGAGGUACGAAAGCAUGGGGAGCAAACAGG